This 253-nucleotide ribosomal RNA is filed under the name uncultured bacterium. RNAcentral's name for it is "partial 16S ribosomal RNA". It matches the Rfam family "Bacterial small subunit ribosomal RNA", at positions 524 to 776 of the family's 1533-position model. The record is from RNAcentral.
UACGGAGGGUGCAAGCGUUAUCCGGAUUCACUGGGUUUAAAGGGUGCGUAGGCGGGUUGGUAAGUCCGUGGGGAAAUCCCCAAGCUUAACUUGGGAACUGCCGUGGAUACUAUCAAUCUUGAAUAUCGUGGAGGUAAGCGGAAUAUGUCAUGUAGCGGUGAAAUGCUUAGAUAUGACAUAGAACACCAAUUGCGUAGGCAGCUUACUACACGAUCAUUGACGCUGAGGCACGAAAGCGUGGGGAGCAAACAGG